Homo sapiens (human) is the source of this 398-nucleotide long non-coding RNA. RefSeq lists it as uncharacterized. The transcript is spliced from 3 exons. NCBI's taxonomy places the organism in Eukaryota, Metazoa, Chordata, Mammalia, Primates, Hominidae. The record is from RefSeq and is a predicted model, not a curated record.
GUCACAUCCAUGCUGAGGUUUUAAGAGAAGCAAACCAGGAGUGCUUUGAUGGAAUGACAACUCACUUUUGGAAGUGGACAGACUAGAAGGGAGGUGAACUUGGCUGAGUCAGCUCUCUGCCACCAAGGCAACCCUGAACUGACAGCUACCUGUCGAUGGCUCUCCCAGGAGGUGAGGAUGCAAAUCCUUUUUUAAAAGGGGAUCUGAGCAUUGGAGAGUCCACCAAACAUGGGAUGAAGAAAUGCUAAAAUGAAAAGCGGAAUUACAAGAAAGAUGUAUCUGUGUCUUUCAUUCCUGGAACACUGGGGGAAUGUAAAAGAAGGUGCAUUAAUGGAAGAGCAUCAUCCCAGAUUCUUGCACUUCUCCAUAGAUGCAUCUAAUCCAGCCUGGUAUGUGAU